Gasterosteus aculeatus aculeatus (three-spined stickleback) is the source of this 1052-nucleotide non-coding RNA. NCBI's taxonomy places the organism in Eukaryota, Metazoa, Chordata, Actinopteri, Perciformes, Gasterosteidae. The record is from RefSeq and is a predicted model, not a curated record.
GACUUAAUAUUGGCUACUAAGAGAACCUCCAUCUCCACGCGAUUCACUCCGUCGAACGACAAGCGUUUCAUCCGGGUGACUAGGGACGACGAAACGAGCGAACCCAACGCGGAUCGCAACUUUCCGAGAAAAGUGACAGUUGAUUUAACCCAAAAACGGCCCUUACGUAGUGACGUCUCAGUCUCUACAACGGGCGGGAUAUCCGCAGUAGUAAGAUAACUAAUAACAUGGCAAAGUCUUACGAUUACUUGUUUAAAAUACUUUUAAUCGGCGAUUCAGGCGUCGGAAAGACCUGCGUGAUUCUCCGGUUUUCCGAAGAUGCCUUCAACUCGACGGUUAUCUGCACUCUUGGUGUUGAUUUCAAGAUCAGAACAAUAGAAUUAGAUGGAAAGAAGGUCAAGCUACAGAUCUGGGAUACAGCAGGACAAGAGAGGUUCAGGACCAUCACAUCAGCCUACUACAGAGGAGCCAUGGUAGGUUGCAUCCUCAUCUUACUAACUCACACUGCAGUACGGAUUCUCUCAUAAACCUAAAUGGGUGAAACAGUGUGUGUGAAUGGCAGCGUUUACCUUUACCAGAACCGCACCCACCAUUUGUUUUGGUUGUUUGUUUUGAACACAUCUGUGCCUUGUAAGUCGUACGUGGUUCAAUUAAGUCAAUCAAGUGUCCCAUUAUCCAGCUCAAAUUAACUGUGAUGAUUGACAUCAGGCUAUCUCGGUUCCUCAAAGUUUGAACCACAUGUCAGUCAUCACGUGUGCGCGUCCUGCGUCAAAAGGCAGAAGAGUCGAUCACCGAAACAAGGAUUUUUUUAACAGUACAAUGACAAACAAACUUAAAGGAAGAGAAACGAGGAACGGGGGACCUGGGGAAUUUCAGACACACUCAAUGCUUUGUAAUAGUAUUUUUGUGCCUCCUUUAGUUUAACGGGACGCCUGUGUUUGCAUGUCAAUCUCAAAUCACAUUAGACACUCGUCUGUAUUCAUGGACUAUUAAUAAUAAGUAAGAAACGGUGUCAUGUUUCUCUGGCUGGUCAAUUGUUUUGUGUCAUUGAC